Rattus norvegicus (Norway rat) is the source of this 3068-nucleotide non-coding RNA. Lineage: Eukaryota; Metazoa; Chordata; Mammalia; Rodentia; Muridae. The record is from RefSeq and is a predicted model, not a curated record.
GUUGUCAGUGACAGCCGGGCAGCACAUUAGUUUAUCCUAGAACCAUGGCCUUCCAGCGGCGGGGACAGAAAAGAACUGCCAUGCUUCCCUGCCUCCCCCAUUCAGAACCUGUGAGGACGUAUGUCCCUGAAGCCACACUACAGACAAAGGAACCUGGCGGGCGCCACAUGCUGUGUGUGUGUCAUCAGACAUUGGACAAUAUCAGCCAGAACACAGCCAUUUCAGUUAUUUUUUGAGACGGUGUCUUGCCGCGGCCCAUAAUCUAGGACGGGUUUGAUUGACUUAAAGUUGAGUUACGAGUGGUUGAACCAGAAUGAUAACACACGAGAGCUUUGACCGAAUGAAAAGUUGCCAGACAGGACACCCUCUUCACCAGCGAGAUGUUUGGUCAGGCACCUAACUUUUUUCAGAUCCCAUUUGAGGAGAGGGAUGAGAAAAUUCCUCCUGGGCGACCCACGGGUCGUGGGGAAAAAAAGCCAGAACCUUUCACGCUGGCUAGCCUGUGACUCUUGGGGAGGCAGACGUACUGUCCAGCUGGCGCCUCACUCAGGACGCUGGAAGAGAACCCGGGGAGGCGGGGUGGGAGCAAGGGCUGAGAAAAGGUGUAGCUGCUGGAGAGAAAUUAGAGAUCUUGGCCCUUCUGGGAAGCAGGACGGUCCAGCACUCACACAGCGCCGGGGAGGCCCCAAACAAACUCCUCUCCCUCCUUGCUCUCGGCCCUUUGUUGUCCGCCUCUGGCUCCCGCUCAUGCCCUCGGGUCCCCCGCCCCCCUGAAGUCACCCCAACUGCACUCAUAAUAUUUUGCUUUGCGCCGGGUCUGUUUUCCACCACCAACUUCCAGCAGUCUCCAUGGCGACGCGCUGGGGCUAGGGGGUAGGGUGGGGGCGGCGGCGGCUGUUCAGAUCUCAGGCCUGAGCCGCGGAGCAGCCCCUGUUAACUUUUCCGGGUCUCUGGGUGUCGCACUGGGAAAAGUGCGCUGUCCGGGGCCCGCCUUGUGAAAUCGCGAGCCCGCAACCUGGUGGAGUCAGACUUGUGUACUGGGGCCGGGUGGCCCAAAACUGCAAUCGCGCGUCUCCGGAACCCGGGGACCACGCGACACUCGCUUGACUCUGCCGCCAAGCUCAGAUGCUAGCAGGUGGCAAGGGUAGUACCUCUCAUGUCCACCUCUCUGGCCACACACACACACACACACACACACACACACACACACACACACACACGCAAUCAGGAACGUCUGUGGAAAGUGACGCUAGUUCGGCAUAAGAUAAAGGCUCUGAUCUCUUGCUGCUCCCUGCUCUAAUCCACAGAUUGGGUCUCAGGGCUGCAGGAGGAGGCUACUUCUACUUACCCAGAGCCUCACCUUGGAGAAGAGACAGGAGGACCCAGGCCUGUUCCCUCUGGGUGCUCUCUACCCCGUGGACAAAUACCUAAGGCCCCAGGAUGUCUCCCUUAGGGCCCAUGAAACUAGGCUGGACCUAAUGCCAGGUCACCCUGCCUGCGGUUCAACUUCUCCUCUUACCAGCGGGGCCCCAGCAUUCAGAUCCGAUUGGAGAAUCUUUGAUGCCCCAGCUGUGAGCUCUGGAGAUGGGGUUGGGGGUAGGGAUGAAAACUAGAUAGAGUUAGGAACUUCCAAUUGGAACGCCACAAUGCACCUCUCCAAGGAGUUAUCCCGUUUAACAAGAAACGACCCUCUGACGCGUAGUGGAUCAAGCUGCCUCAGCCUAACUUUACACAACUUCCUGGUGGUCAAAAAUUCUACCCACUUUUCCUUGCUCAUUCUCAGCACAGAUUAAGGAGCACCUGAACAGCGCUGCGGCUCUGAGUGGAGGAGACAGAAUUAUAAUCGAAUGAACACAAACGGAGUAGCCACUGCCAGCGACCUUCGUAGAGAAUGAGAGCCAAACGGGCCUGAGCACCCACUUUGGGGCAAGGUGGGUCGUGGUGCUAUCUCCGACUGUUAAACUCAGUCCCGGAGGGCGCACGUCGAUGGCUCCUGAGCGCGCCCGCUGCCUUUGCAGCCCGGCGGAGCUUAGCGAAGCCCCCAGAGUUCCAUCUCCGAGGGACUUUGCCGCUGCGUUAAGAAACCAGAGAGCCGAGGAGGAGGAGGCGCGCGCCGGCUCCUGGGCCUCCCCCGACGGAGCCAUUGUUUGGGCCCCACACUUGUAGCGUAUUUUGGAAAAACUCAAGGAAUAUAUUACCAGCUCGAUGCGCGGAACAAAGGGGUGAGUUUCCGCAGGUCACGCUGAAGUGGGCCCGAAGCAGGCCACUAGAGCACCGGCCCCAGCAACACUGUUCUCCCAUGCCGGAGGCACUUUGCGGGGAUUUUUUUCUUUUAAGAAACAGAGACUGCUGCUUCGAUUUGGCGGCCCCUCUGAACGUGGAUGCUCCGGACUUCGCUCCAGCGACUGCUGUGAGCCUGUUGUUUGAGCCCGUUAAGAAUGAAAUCACUGAUUUCGCGUUUCUACUCGAGCGCAACCUUACACGGAGAGAAUAGAAUCGAACUGCCCAGUGGAGCGCUGGGCUCUGCCUGCUCCGGGAGGGGGGGAAUGAACUUUUACAUAACAAGGGAAACCCAGAAGAAAGACUAAUUGGAUUAAUUCUCGGGAAGGGAGGCUCCUGGAUCGGACCUCGACACUUUGCUUGUCCGAAGUUUUGCAUGUGAAAUGUCACCUGGUGCGCCUGAAGUGACUUUUCAAUUGGUGCCAUUAACCAAAACUUUUGAUUUUUGAGUUCAGAAGUGUGAUCUAGGGAUAUAUAUAUAUAUUCUCUUAGGUAUGAGAGAGAAGCCAGAGAGCACUGGAGUUUCAUAACCCAUCUGGGUUGCUCGCCAUUGGAAUGGAAGUGGCCAGUGCUCACACAACCACCUGAUAAACCGCGAUUAAAACUAGAAAGUGCCUACGAUUCUAAGUCACCACCACCACCAAACACCCAAAGAACUCUAAUCCUGUGGAGGAAUCAACUAAUAUUCCAGCUAGAACAUGCCAGCUUUGGGGUAUGAAGAAGGCCCCUGAGACCGUGUACGGACAGACCCCUUGAAAAUACUCAAUUACUAAUUCUGUACAAAUGGG